GUUGUUGCGGUUAAAAAGCUCGUAGUUGGUUCUGCGUGCCGCGCUGUCGGUUCGCCGCCUGUCGGUGUAACUGGCAUGUCGCGGCAUGUCCUGUCGGUGGUGAACGGAGUCCACAAUGCUACAUAGGCUUUACAGCCGAUGUUAGCGUUGUGUGCACUUCCGUUGGCCGAUCUCUCCUACUUCGGUGCUCUUAAACGAGUGUCGAGGUAGGCCGACACGUUCACUUUGAACAAAUUAGAGUGCUUAAAGCAGGCUGAAAUAUCUGCCUGAAUAGUGGUGCAUGGAAUGAUAAAACAGGACCUCGGUUCUAUUUUGUUGGUUUUAGGAAUAUGAGGUAAUGAUCAAUGUGGACUGGCGGGGGCAUUCGUAUUGCGACGUUAGAGGUGAAAUUCUUGGAUCGUCGCAAGACGCACUAGAGCGAAAGCAUUUGCCAAGUAUGUCUUAAUUGAUCAAGAACGAAAGUUAGAGGUUCGAAGGCGAUCAGAUACCGCCCUAGUUCUAACCAUAAACGAUGCCAGCCAGCGAUCCGCCGAUGUUCC
This 539-nucleotide ribosomal RNA is filed under the name Dipetalogaster maximus. Its description in RNAcentral is "SSU rRNA". It matches the Rfam family "Eukaryotic small subunit ribosomal RNA", at positions 609 to 1066 of the family's 1831-position model. Lineage: Eukaryota; Metazoa; Arthropoda; Insecta; Hemiptera; Reduviidae. The record is from RNAcentral.